AUAAAAAUGAUGCAAUUAUUAUCAUCAUUAUCGAAGAAACGUCAACGUUAAUUAGUAUCUGGGGUAUGUUAUGCAUUACGCAACUGGAUGCUGAAAAAUGAGGAUUGUCACACUCCCGUGCUCUCCGCACAUACAUUAAAUUGCACUUUUACAAUGGAAGAUGUCCGUUAUUGUAUAGCCGUUACGUUUAAGCUGGAUACAUAACAACAAUAAAUGGCAUUGCUUCUUGUGAACCGAACGUUCAACGCCCAGUCGAGUCUACUAUACUCAUAAUAAAUAUUCAUAUUUAUGCCCUGGCCUGGAAUAUCAAUACGCAGCUCGUGCAAUCAUCCCAUUGAUAGUACCUGCAGUAGCCGCAGUAACGACGACCUAGGUGAUAUCCACAUAACAUCACAGCAUGGACUGGGAGCCGAUCAGUGUGAUAAUGGUUCACAAAUAGGUUCUGAGCAACUCUUCAAAAGUCGAAACAGUUGAAACAGUUCUCGAGAGCGAAACUCAAAGAGUGGAAUUCGUAGACUUCAUCACGAGUGGGUUUGGAGAGAACACACGGACAUUUUUGACGAGUUCGAGUGGCAAAUAUUUGACAGCUGUAACAGUGUACGUUUUGAGAAUCUGAAUAAGACUUUCCAUAUUUUCAGAGACUGCGAUUAAGUUGGAAAAUCUAAGGAAGGUGAUGCACUGAAGUUUAUAUAUCGGCCAGAAGUGAAGAGCAAGCCCUUACACUUGCCAACAUGGAUCGAGAGGAGAAAGUCCACAAAGCCAUUCGCAAGAAGGGAUUUCACGAGAAGGUACAAGCGUCUUUCGUAAUGUACGUGUUCCGACCGGAAACAGCCGUCGGCUUUGCCGUCAUCCUGAUAGGAGUGGCCGUCUUCACAGCGUCGUUGAGGGCGACAUGUCUAGCUGCCGCUGGAUUCUGCGUCGCGUUGGCGGCCGCGUACGUACUUUGGUUCGCCUUGACGUACUUUCUGGCGUACGUGUGGGUAAGGAUUGUGCGGUGGAUGAAGAAGACAGGUCCGUAAGAGGCCCUUGUUUCAGGAUGAAACAAACUUUUUGUCUGGCCACAAACUCUUUCAGCGCGAGAGGAAACAAACUACAAGAUGGACUUUGAAAAGUAAGAUGGACUUUGAAAAGUAAGAUGGACUUUGAAAGUUCAGCUACACAGUGGAAGUUAAAAAAAAGUCUAUAUUUAAGUGCAUUAAAAUAUAAUAAUAGUUCAGAGUUUCUUUUGGAAUUUUUAUUCUGAUCAUCGAAUUUAAGACGAAAGGUGCUAAGGAUGUUAAAAGGUCAACUCUCAAUCUUUGGUGCUAGCAUAGAGGAAGGACAAUUGAACUGCCCGGGCUAGAACAUCUGGCCAAUUACCGCAUGCCCGGUGUUGUCCAUGGCCAGAGCGCAGCGAGCGCUUGCUGCGCGCCAUCUAUUUCACAUCGUAAUCCCUUUGUGCCAGUGAUCGCCGCCGCAAUUUUUCGCUGGUAUAUGUAAUCUGCAUCUUUAAACCUUUAUGUACUGAGGUAUAGGAAAUUGAAUAUUCAAGCUUUGUUGGUGCUUGGUAUGAUCUCAUGACAACAUAUUUAAUGGUUGCGCUGUUACUUGUAAUACGCCGUGUGCCGUAAAUGUACACGUGCAGUCAUUGCUUUUCUUCUGAAGUUAUUUUGGGAAUAAAUAGCCCCGUUGUUUACAAGACUUCGUGUUCUGUUUGAAUCGUUUUUAUUACAGCAUUUGUAAAAAAAUGUAUUUUAGGAGAUUUUAUGAUUACUCCCUGUGAUAACAUAGAGCUUUUUUGUUCCACAUGUAUUUGACUUUCUAGUUGUGGUCAGCUCGUUGUUGGCCAAUCUUGACCAAGUCCUUGAAAUCUGAUGUACUGGAGUGAGGAGAAUAAAAUUACGAACUUUGCAUGGAUAUUCGAACAGUGUAUCAAAAUAAAAAAGUUUCCUAACGAUGGCAAAAGUGGGGCUAAUGUCAAGGAUUCCUCUCUCUCCAUUUCCUGGUCACAUUAGUAUGUAUUUGAUUGCAAGCAAAACACUACAAAUAUUGCAAGGAUAUUACUGGCCCCACUUGUUCGGCUAAGAUGCAGGCAGUAAUCAGUCAUUUUUGUAAUUUUCUCUCCAUUUCGUCCGACUCGGCGGCGACGACGAUCAUUGAGCACUUUGAAGUCCCAGAGCUGCAACUCCUUCUGUGUCCUUCCUCUAUGGCUCUAUAGUUCUAGUAACAAGUGGGGUAAGCUCUGACCCAUUCAUCCUAUAUCUGAAAGGGAAGGGUCUUGUCAAAUACCACUGUCUCCCUUUGUAUCUUUUUUCCCCAACUACCCUUCUGCCGAAGCUCAGACAACGUAGCGCCCUCUGUUGUCAUCUCUAAAACUCUGUAAAUCUGAAAUCUUGUGUCUACUGUUUUUACUUAUCAAAGCUUUCACUGUAUAAUAAGCACUGAGGGUGAACAUGUUUCUUUUUGUCAGGCAUCGAUAAUGAACAUUUAUUUAAAGUCACUUAUGUUGAUACUUCAUGUACUGGCUUAAGGUUAUUAGGUUAAUACUUAUAGAAAGCUUAACAAUAAAAUAUCUAUAUGUUAUUUUGAAAA
Long non-coding RNA from Acanthaster planci (crown-of-thorns starfish), 2571 nucleotides. RefSeq lists it as uncharacterized. NCBI's taxonomy places the organism in Eukaryota, Metazoa, Echinodermata, Asteroidea, Valvatida, Acanthasteridae. The record is from RefSeq and is a predicted model, not a curated record.